Molecule: non-coding RNA, 89 nt
Filed under: Pseudomonas tolaasii NCPPB 2192
Lineage: Bacteria; Pseudomonadati; Pseudomonadota; Gammaproteobacteria; Pseudomonadales; Pseudomonadaceae
Source: RNAcentral
UGUGGGAGCUGGCUUGCCUGCGAUAGCGGUGGGUCAGCUAUGCAUGUGCCAGCUGGUAGACCGCUAUCGCAGGCAAGCCAGCUCCCACA